RNAcentral lists this ribosomal RNA (475 nucleotides) under uncultured organism. Its description in RNAcentral is "partial 16S ribosomal RNA". It matches the Rfam family "Bacterial small subunit ribosomal RNA", at positions 334 to 800 of the family's 1533-position model. The record is from RNAcentral.
CACUCCUGCGGGAGGCAGCAGUGGGGAAUAUUGCACAAUGGGCGCAAGCCUGAUGCAGCCAUGCCGCGUGUAUGAAGAAGGCCUUCGGGUUGUAAAGUACUUUCAGCGGGGAGGAAGGCGAUAAGGUUAAUAACCUUGUCGAUUGACGUUACCCGCAGAAGAAGCACCGGCUAACUCCGUGCCAGCAGCCGCGGUAAUACGGAGGGUGCAAGCGUUAAUCGGAAUUACUGGGCGUAAAGCGCACGCAGGCGGUCUGUCAAGUCGGAUGUGAAAUCCCCGGGCUCAACCUGGGAACUGCAUUCGAAACUGGCAGGCUAGAGUCUUGUAGAGGGGGGUAGAAUUCCAGGUGUAGCGGUGAAAUGCGUAGAGAUCUGGAGGAAUACCGGUGGCGAAGGCGGCCCCCUGGACAAAGACUGACGCUCAGGUGCGAAAGCGUGGGGAGCAAACAGGAUUAGAAACCCCGGUAGUCCCAUGA